Molecule: unclassified non-coding RNA, 159 nt
Filed under: uncultured Beauveria
Lineage: Eukaryota; Fungi; Ascomycota; Sordariomycetes; Hypocreales; Cordycipitaceae
Description: sequence contains ITS1
Source: RNAcentral
CUGAGUUAUAAACUCCAAACCUUUGUGAACCCUAUACCAACGUUGCUUCGGCGUGCCGUCCCGGGCGCGGCUCCGGCCGUGACCCGGGCCCAGGCGGCCGCCGGGGACCCGAAACUCUGUUCUUACAGUGGACCUCUGAGUGGCAUAAGAAAACAAUCA